Molecule: ribosomal RNA, 253 nt
Filed under: uncultured bacterium
Lineage: Bacteria
Description: partial 16S ribosomal RNA
Rfam family: Bacterial small subunit ribosomal RNA
Source: RNAcentral
UACGUAGGUGGCAAGCGUUGUCCGGAAUUAUUGGGCGUAAAGCGCGCGCAGGCGGCUCGUCAAGCCUGACGUGAAAGCCCCCGGCUCAACCGGGGAGGGUCGUCGGGGACUGGCGAGCUUGAGGUCGGCAGGGGCUGGUGGAAUUCCCGGUGUAGUGGUGAAAUGCGUAGAGAUCGGGAGGAACACCCGUGGCGAAGGCGGCCAGCUGGGCCGUACCUGACGCUGAGGCGCGAAGGCGUGGGGAGCGAACGGG